This 158-nucleotide small RNA is filed under the name human gut metagenome. RNAcentral's name for it is "Enterobacterial sRNA STnc410". It matches the Rfam family "Enterobacterial sRNA STnc410". The record is from Rfam by way of RNAcentral.
AGGAUNAAUNGUCAUNNACGGGAUUAUCCCCGCUGACGAAAGCGCCAUUUUCGACNAUCGUCACGCCUUUUGUCUGCAGAAAAUAAGGGCAGUACCUUCAUUUUAGCGUCAGGUGGAUGUUUUUGCUCUUAUUUCGAUCAUGAANUAAANCGGGAAAA